This 348-nucleotide unclassified non-coding RNA is filed under the name soil metagenome. RNAcentral describes it as "partial contains 5.8S ribosomal RNA, internal transcribed spacer 2, and large subunit ribosomal RNA". The stretch from base 1 to 121 matches the Rfam family "5.8S ribosomal RNA", at positions 35 to 154 of the family's 154-position model. The record is from RNAcentral.
GAUGAAGAACGUAGCGAAAUGCGAUAAGUAAUGCGAAUUGCAGAAUUUCCGUGAGUCAUCGAAUCUUUGAACGCACAUUGCGCCCAUUGGUAUUCCGAUGGGCAUGCCUGUUCGAGCGUCAUUAUCCUCCCUCAAACCCCUGGGUUUGGUGUUGGACUGUGUGGUGCCUGGCACCACUGGUCUCAAAGACAAUGACGGCGUCCGUGGGACCCUCGGUGCAACGAGCUUUUCGAAGCACGCGUCGAGUGGACAGUCUCUCCGGGCCGGUCACCUCUCCAAUUUUUCUCAGGUUGACCUCGGAUCAGGUAGGAAUACCCGCUGAACUUAAGCAUAUCAAUAAGCGGAGGA